ACCUGGAGGCGGAACUUCCGGCUCCGAGACGCCUUCCCAGGAUCCUCAGGGAAAGCCGGCCGCCUUCUAGGCGGACAGAAAUGAACUCAAAACUCAAAGAAGACAUUCUGGUGCAGGAGGAAUUUGUUUUGUGUGGUGGAGUUGAAACGCAGGUUCUAAAAUGUGGGCCAUGGACUGACUUCUUUAAUGAUCGAAGUGUCAGCAGACCCAAACUGCUUAUUUUUAUCAUUCCUGGUAACCCAGGUUUUCCUUCCUUUUACGUGCCAUUUGCGAAGGCUUUAUACUCCUUGACAAACCGACACUUUCCAGUUUGGAUUAUCAGUCAUGCUGGGCAUGUCUUGGCCCCCAAAGACAAGAAGGUUCUUACAGCAUCAGAGGAUCCAAAUGCUCAAGACAUCAAGGACAUCUAUGGACUGAAUGGUCAAAUAGAACACAAACUAACUUUCCUGAGAACUCAUGUGCCAAAGGACAUGAAGCUUGUGCUCAUCGGCCAUUCAGUCGGCAGCUAUUUUGCUCUUCAGAUGUUGAAGCGUGCCCCUGAGCUUCCUGUAAUUCGCUCCUUUCUGCUCUUUCCAACAAUUGAACGAAUGUCCGAGUCACCCAAUGGCAGAAUUGCCACUCCACUUUUGUGCUGGUUUCGAUAUGUUCUCUAUGCUACUACCUACUUGAUACUUAAACCAUUUCCUGAGAGAAUCAAGUCCUUGAUGCUCAGAAUGGGCCUUCAAAUGAUGAACCUGAAGAGUGAAUUUUCACUGAUGCAUAUUUUAGAACCAUUCUGCCUAGCUAAUGCUGCCUACCUGGGAGGCCAAGAAAUGAUGGAGGUGGUGAAGAGAGACAAUGAAACCAUACAGGAACAUUUGCCUAAGCUUACAUUUUACUAUGGAACUGUAGAUAGAUGGUGUCCAAAAGAGUUCUAUGAAGACAUCAAGAAGGAUUUUCCAGAAGGAGAUAUUCGACUCUGUGAGAAACAAAUACCUCAUGCCUUUAUCCUCCAUUCUUACCAGGAAAUGGCAGAAAUGGUCACUGACUGGCUCAAGGAUGAUCUGUCUAAAAUAUAAAUCCUGAUGCAGGAAAACAAGUACCUCCCACCAGUACAUGGAGGCAGUAGGUGUACUAUACUUGACAUAAAUUAUUGUGAUGUUUGAUAUGAGUAAAGGAAAAAUUGAGAACCUCUUAGCUUAAAAACUGUAAGCUCCCAGCUCCCCAUGUUACAAGCUGAAGUAAACACACUUGAUGAUUUAUUCCAUAAGUUUAAACAUUUUUUAAGACUCAGGGAACACAGUGAUCUAAACAAGGUCUCGUGUUUGCACAGAAUACCCAGUGGCACCAUAUGCUUUAUUUUGGUAGGCAGGAUCCUUGUAGAUAAAAGAAAAUCUAAACUUAAUUGAUUUUAACUGAGUUACAUUAUUGAAUAGGCUCUCCUAGGGUAAAUUAUGAAAUAUAUGUAGAAAAUGUGAAAGAGAUCAAUGAAUGUGAAGGAUAUGGUUAGAUAUGUGAAGUGUACGAGGUCAUGAUGAGGAUACACUCAUGUUUCAGAAGCAGGAAGUGAUGGGCAUUGGAUAUUGGCCAUGGACCUGGGUCUCCCUUAGGGCAGAAAAUGAAGAUCAGCCCAAACUAACUUUGCACAGGUCUUGGCUAAGAUCAUCAGUGGCAUUGCUGGUCUGCUUGCAUUAGACAGAGAACAAAGUUCACCAGACAUUACUCUGGUCAACUAGUCAGAUAAAGAGUUGUUGAAGGAUCCCAAUUAUGCCUCCUACUACAGCACAGCCAACAAGCUGGGUGCUAAGCCUUAGCCUGCUCGGUGUGAGCUCGCUGCAGGCUGCUCUUCUCCAGAGCCAGGAUGGGGAGGCACUGGGCUGUCCUGAAUCAGGCUUGUUUGCACCAACAUAUUCUUUCUAUGAUUCCUCUUUUUUUUUUUAACUUCAAUUAUGAUGAGGGUACAAAUGAUUAAGUUACAAUGUUUGUGUUUGUUAGGUAAGAUCUCUGUGGUAAUUGUGCCCCUCACCCAGGAGGUGUGCCACAUACCCUUUGGUUGUGCGCAUUGCAUGAGAGCACACCAGCUUUUAUGAUUCUGGCGAUAAAACUCUGUUGAAGACUUGGCUUACUCCAGCAGUGAGCCAAGUACUGUGCUAGCCAUUGAGGAUAGAGCUCUUUUAGCUACUUGAUGAUUCUUUCCUUCUUUUCUGAUGAAAAUUUUCUAAUAAAUAAUUUUUGAAAUGGCAUUUUAAAUUACUGAGAGCAUUACCAUAAAUCACUUCUCCGUUUUUGCAGUAACUUUAUUUUUAAAGAAAUUUUUAAAGUUUUUAUUUUUAAAGUUAAUUUUAGAAAGAUAAUAUUGUGCUAGUUAAGUUAGGUGAAUUUACCUUCUCUGGACACAUUGAGGCCUAGAGUGGAAAAUAUUGCUGCCUUCCCUAGAUGGACUCAAUCCUUAGACCUUAGGAACCAGUAAAGCCUACAGACUACAGCGACAGUUGAUGAUCGAUCGGAAACAUUCCGUUUUCUCCUAGAGGAAAUCCCUUAUGGCAUUAUCAUUCCUUAAUGACAAUGAGAUGUUGUUCCUGAAACCUAAAGCCCCUGAUGAAAGACUCAGCUCUGAUGUGCUGCCAGCCCAGCAUGAGCGUUGAAUGAGUUAUUGUCCUUUGGCAUGGCUUCUGCAUUGGAGCAAAUGACUUCUCAGAGGGAGCAGCUAAGCUCCAGACAAGGAGUGCUAUUAGCCUGAGAUACACAGGACAUGGGUACGGGGUGCACACCAGCCAUAUUGACAUCCAUGUGGGGAGAUCGUCUAGAAGUCUGAUGCUAGAGGCUGGGACUCGUGGCCCCGAGUGCCUUGCAGACAGGAGAUGCUCAGUAGCACCAAAUCAAAGCACAUCAGCAAGUACUGAAGAGAGAAGAAUCAGAUUUCAGAAGACUGGAGUUCAUUUUAUUUCAAUAGGAAUUAGAAGACUAAAAUCAAUAAACAGUGGAUGAAUUCAUUUUCCUGAAGCAGUUCUUUCUGCCUGUGUGUCUCAGUCAACCACAUGGAUGGUCUUUGUCAAAGAUUUAACUUCUUACCAAGUUAAGCAGAGCUGAGAGGAAAGCGUAGCGGGAACCUUGACCCAUGCCCAGGUUUGUUCCUGUUCUGCUCCAGGCCAUGGGGAAGAAUCUCCAGAGGCCUCCACCUUCCCUGGCUUGCAUGGACUGAUAGCAACGACCUCCAGGGCCCUCCCUCCAUCUGCUUCUCCACUCAACCUUGGAGAACCAGUCACCUCCAGAGCUUUGAUUGUUCUCCACCCUACACUAUGCUAAGGCAAAAGCCAUUCUAGAUUAAAGGAAGCUAAAGAGACAUGACAACUUAACCCAAAACCUGAUUCUGGAUUGGAGGUUUUUCUUAUAAAAGAUAUUGUCGGGAUAAUUUGCACAGUUUGAAUGUGCUCUGCAGAUGGUUUGGGAGUAAGACGCUAAUGCUAAUUUUCUGUUUUCUCUGGUUGAAUUGUGAAGAAAUGGGAGAAUGUCCCCAUUUGUACUGCAGACACACUGCACUAUCUGGGAGCGAUGGGAUAUCCUGUCAGUUUAUUCUCCAUUGGUUCAGAGGAAAAUGUUCUUCCUACUUGCAAAUUUUUUUGGAAGUUUUAGAUGUUUUGAAUUUAUAAAAUUAAUUAUUUUUUAAAAAUCAGUCCCUCUCCUGCUUCAGUUUUUCAUUGCU
This is an RNA transcript of Nycticebus coucang (slow loris), 3682 nucleotides long. It is a transcript of the gene named lipid droplet associated hydrolase, with no coding region annotated. The transcript is spliced from 8 exons. Lineage: Eukaryota; Metazoa; Chordata; Mammalia; Primates; Lorisidae. The record is from RefSeq and is a predicted model, not a curated record.